GGGCCCGCACAAGCGGUGGAGUAUGUGGUUUAAUUCGAUGAUACGCGAGGAACCUUACCAGGGCUUAAAUGUAACGGGACAGAUCUAGAGAUAGAUCCUUCUUCGGACUCAUUACAAGGUGCUGCAUGGUUGUCGUCAGCUCGUGCCGUGAGGUGUCAGGUUAAGUCCUAUAACGAGCGCAACCCCUAUCGUUAGUUGCCAUCAAGUAAAGUUGGGAACUCUAGCGAAACUGCCGGUGCAAACCGUGAGGAAGGUGGGGAUGACGUCAAAUCAUCACGGCCCUUACGUUCUGGGCUACACACGUGCUACAAUGGCCGGUACAGAAAGCAGCCACUAUGCGAAUAGGAGCUAAUCUUUAAAACCGGUCUCAGUUCGGAUCGCAGUCUGCAACUCGACUGCGUGAAGCUGGAAUCGCUAGUAAUCGGAUAU
Molecule: ribosomal RNA, 429 nt
Filed under: uncultured bacterium
Lineage: Bacteria
Description: bacterial SSU rRNA
Rfam family: Bacterial small subunit ribosomal RNA
Source: RNAcentral